AGGGAAGUGAUGAAAACUGUGACUGUUGUGUGACACUGAUUCCUCUCGUAUGCUGAUCCUG
RNAcentral lists this small nucleolar RNA (61 nucleotides) under Nomascus leucogenys (northern white-cheeked gibbon). Lineage: Eukaryota; Metazoa; Chordata; Mammalia; Primates; Hylobatidae. The record is from RNAcentral.